GACACAACCUCUAUUUUUUAUUGUUUUUCUUUGCCAAAUUUAGAACAAUGCAUUCCAACCCAUGUUUUUUUUUUCUUUUUGUGUAUUCAACCCUUCAACUUUUGGCAUUGCCACUUACACCCAUCAGUUUUCUUUGUAAAAUUUCAUUUUGACCCCCUCGAAUUUUACAUGCUUAUUUUUAUGUACGCGGUAUAAAUCCGAGUUACUUUACAUUUCGACUCCGCGACAACGCGUGGUACCAUUCUUUAACGUAUAAAAACACUAUUUUCUUACGUGCUUUUUUCAAGUACGUUUCAUUAUAAAUCCAAGUUGGUUUAUGACUUUAUGUUUCGACGUAAAUUUUCU
Molecule: long non-coding RNA, 345 nt
Filed under: Helianthus annuus (common sunflower)
Lineage: Eukaryota; Viridiplantae; Streptophyta; Magnoliopsida; Asterales; Asteraceae
Description: sRNA HanXRQr2_Chr01g0001101
Source: RNAcentral